RNAcentral lists this long non-coding RNA (246 nucleotides) under Homo sapiens (human). RNAcentral describes it as "HSALNT0295069". Lineage: Eukaryota; Metazoa; Chordata; Mammalia; Primates; Hominidae. The record is from RNAcentral.
CCCGCCGCCUCUGCUCCCCGCGGCCCGGGACCCCUCACACGCCUCCUCGGCAGGAGGGAGGCCGGCAGCAAGUCUCAGAAACUCCUUUUUCGUAGUGCCAGGGUGCAGGGAGUGAUCCUCCUCCCUACCUCUCCCAUUAUGGUAGAAAAAAACUCUGUGUCCUGGCUACAUCAAAAUCUGUUGGGGUGGAUCUUGGACUCAGCACCCAGGGAUUCUGAUAAGGUGAUCUGGAGCUGAAGCCACAAU